AUGGUCGCUUCAGCAGCACAUAUAUUACACUAAAACCAGAGCGAUACAGAGGUUAGCAUGGCCCUUGUGCAAGUAUGACAUGCAAAUUCGUGAAGCCUUCCGUAGUUUU
Molecule: small nuclear RNA, 109 nt
Organism: Saimiri boliviensis boliviensis (Bolivian squirrel monkey)
Lineage: Eukaryota; Metazoa; Chordata; Mammalia; Primates; Cebidae
Source: Ensembl